AUAACCCCGGGAAACUGGGGAUAAUUCUGGAUAACGCACAUAUGCUGGAAUGCUUUAUGCGUAAAAUGGAUUCGUCUGCCCAAGGAUGGGUCUGCGGCCUAUCAGGUAGUAGUGGGUGUAAUGUACCUACUAGCCAACAACGGGUACGGGUUGUGAGAGCAAGAGCCCGGAGAUGGAUUCUGAGACAUGAAUCCAGGCCCUACGGGGCGCAGCAGGCGCGAAAACUUUACAAUGCGGGAAACCGUGAUAAGGGGACACCGAGUGCCAGCAUCAUAUGCUGGCUGUCCAGGUGUGUAAACUACACCUGUUAGCAAGGGCCGGGCAAGACCGGUGCCAGCCGCCGCGGUAACACCGGCGGCCCGAGUGGUGAUCGUGAUUAUUGGGUCUAAAGGGUCCGUAGCCGGUUUGGUCAGUCCUCCGGGAAAUCUGAUAGCUCAACUAUUAGGCUUUCGGGGGAUACUGCCAGGCUUGGAACCGGGAGAGGUAAGAGGUACUACAGGGGUAGGAGUGAAAUCUUGUAAUCCCUGUGGGACCACCUGUGGCGAAGGCGUCUUACCAGAACGGGUUCGACGGUGAGGGACGAAAGCUGGGGGCACGAACCGGAUUAGAUACCCGGGUAGUCCCAGCCGUAAACGAUGCUCGCUAGGUGUCAGGCAUGGCGCGACCGUGUCUGGUGCCGCAGGGAAGCCGUGAAGCGAGCCAC
This 703-nucleotide ribosomal RNA is filed under the name uncultured archaeon S30-28. RNAcentral describes it as "bacterial SSU rRNA". It matches the Rfam family "Archaeal small subunit ribosomal RNA", at positions 126 to 827 of the family's 1478-position model. The record is from RNAcentral.